Non-coding RNA from Thermanaeromonas toyohensis ToBE, 86 nucleotides. The record is from Rfam. NCBI's taxonomy places the organism in Bacteria, Bacillati, Bacillota, Clostridia, Neomoorellales, Neomoorellaceae.
UAACCCGUGUCGGAAGGCACGGCUGAACUGGCAGGAGGAAGCUUUGGGCAUAGUACCCUGGGGGUCAUGAACUCCAGGGGAAGGCC